CGAAAGCCUGAUGCAGCGACGCCGCGUGAGGGAUGACGGCCUUCGGGUUGUAAACCUCUUCAGCAGGGAAGAAGCGCAAGUGACGGUACCUGCAGAAGAAGCACCGGUUAACUACGUGCCAGCAGCCGCGGUAAUACGUAGGGUGCAAGCGUUGUCCGGAAUUAUUGGGCGUAAAGAGCUCGUAGGCGGUUUGUCGCGUCGAUUGUGAAAGCCCGGGGCUUAACCCUGGGUCUGCAGUCGAUACGGGCAGGCUAGAGUUCGGUAGGGGAGACUGGAAUUCCUGGUGUAGCGGUGAAAUGCGCAGAUAUCAGGAGGAACACCGGUGGCGAAGGCGGGUCUCUGGGCCGAUACUGACGCUGAGGAGCGAAAGCGUGGGGAGCGAACAGGAUUAGAUACCCUGGUAGUCCACGCUGUAAACGGUGGGAACUAGGUGUGGGCAGCAUUCCACGUUGUCUGUGCCGCAGCUAACGCAUUAAGUUCCCCGCCUGGGGAGUACGGCCGCAAGGCUA
RNAcentral lists this ribosomal RNA (509 nucleotides) under uncultured Actinomycetes bacterium. RNAcentral describes it as "bacterial SSU rRNA". It matches the Rfam family "Bacterial small subunit ribosomal RNA", at positions 376 to 896 of the family's 1533-position model. The record is from RNAcentral. Lineage: Bacteria; Bacillati; Actinomycetota; Actinomycetes.